UGGGGAAUUUUGCGCAAUGGGGGAAACCCUGACGCAGCAACGCCGCGUGGAGGAUGAAAUAUCUUGGUAUGUAAACUCCUUUCGAUGGGGAAGAUUAUGACGGUACCCAUAGAAGAAGCCCCGGCUAACUUCGUGCCAGCAGCCGCGGUAAUACGAGGGGGGCAAGCGUUGUUCGGAUUUAUUGGGCGUAAAGGGUGCGUAGGCGGUUUGGCAAGUCUGAUGUGAAAUCUAUGGGCUCAACCCAUAGUCUGCAUCAGAAACUGCCGGGCUUGAGUAUGGGAGAGGUGAGUGGAAUUUCCGGUGUAGCGGUGAAAUGCGUAGAUAUCGGAAGGAACACCUGUGGCGAAAGCGGCUCACUGGACCAUAACUGACGCUGAUGCACGAAAGCUAGGGGAGCAAACAGGAUUAGAUACCCCCGUAGUCC
This 424-nucleotide ribosomal RNA is filed under the name uncultured bacterium. RNAcentral's name for it is "bacterial SSU rRNA". It matches the Rfam family "Bacterial small subunit ribosomal RNA", at positions 355 to 796 of the family's 1533-position model. The record is from RNAcentral.